UCGAGUGGGUUUAGACCCACGGCAAACGGGUGAGUAAUACCCAGGAACGUACCCUUAGUUGAGCAUAAUCCACCGAAAGGUGGGAUAAUACUCAAUGUGAUCGCAAGAUUAAAGUCGCAAGACGCUAAGGAAGCGGCCUGGGCACCAUCAGCUAGUUGGUAAGGUAAUGGCUUACCAAGGCUUUGACGGUUAGGGGCCCCGAGAGGGGAAACCUCCACACUGGAACUGAGACACGGUCCAG
RNAcentral lists this ribosomal RNA (241 nucleotides) under uncultured bacterium. Its description in RNAcentral is "partial 16S ribosomal RNA". It matches the Rfam family "Bacterial small subunit ribosomal RNA", at positions 62 to 334 of the family's 1533-position model. The record is from RNAcentral.